ACACGACUACAUUAGAUACCCGUGUAGUCCCAGCCCUAAACGAUGCGCGUUAGGUGUAUCGGUGACCACGAGUCACCGAGGCGCCGAAGGGAAACCGUGAAACGUGCCGCCUGGGAAGUACGGUCGCAAGGCUGAAACUUAAAGGAAUUGGCGGGGAGCACCACAACGGGUGGAGCCUGCGGUUUAAUUGGACUCAACGCCGGGAAGCUCACCGGAUAAGACAGCGGAAUGAUUGCCGGGCUGAAGACCCUGCAUGACCAGCUG
Molecule: ribosomal RNA, 264 nt
Filed under: uncultured archaeon
Lineage: Archaea
Description: partial 16S ribosomal RNA
Rfam family: Archaeal small subunit ribosomal RNA
Source: RNAcentral